GAUAAAGUGACCUGACCUAUUCAACAGGAUCUCUCUCAUCAUGUCUGGAUCCCAUAUAUUCACUCUUGGAGUUGUUCCAUUCCAUUUGAACCAUAUCUUGCCUAACACAAUAAUGAAGUUUUCCAGGGAAUCACACGAGGUGCUAUCCUGUUAGUAAGCUCCAUUGGCUUGGUCCAAGCCUCCUUGAAGGCGGCCUUCUCAUCGUUCCUGUCCCCUGUUAACAGCUGGUACUUGUUCCCGGGGAUCCCCUGCCUUCUUAGCUGCAUUUCCAGCAUCUUAGGCUUCAACCAUACCAAGGUAACAUAUACUACAGAAAAUAGAAAUACUUGCGACCGAUACAAGGACUCACCUUCACCUACACAAUACAGUCU
Dioscorea cayenensis subsp. rotundata (Guinea yam) is the source of this 371-nucleotide long non-coding RNA. RefSeq lists it as uncharacterized. NCBI's taxonomy places the organism in Eukaryota, Viridiplantae, Streptophyta, Magnoliopsida, Dioscoreales, Dioscoreaceae. The transcript has 3 exons. The record is from RefSeq and is a predicted model, not a curated record.